GUAGUUGUGGCUCAGUGGUAAAAUGUCUGUCUUAAAAACCGAGGAAUGAAGGUUCAAGCCCCUGGCCUAGCUACA
RNAcentral lists this transfer RNA (75 nucleotides) under Trichomalopsis sarcophagae. Its description in RNAcentral is "tRNA-OTHER". The record is from RNAcentral. Lineage: Eukaryota; Metazoa; Arthropoda; Insecta; Hymenoptera; Pteromalidae.